RNAcentral lists this ribosomal RNA (864 nucleotides) under uncultured bacterium. RNAcentral describes it as "bacterial SSU rRNA". It matches the Rfam family "Bacterial small subunit ribosomal RNA", at positions 8 to 852 of the family's 1533-position model. The record is from RNAcentral.
AGAGUUUGAUCAUGGCUCAGGAUAAACGCUGGCGGCGCACAUAAGACAUGCAAGUCGAACGGAAGUCGUUAUAAAAUAGAUUGAAGAUUUAUCUGAUUGAAGUUUUAUAACAAUGGCUUUAGUGGCGGACUGGUGAGUAACGCGUGAGCAACCUGCCUACUAGAGGGGAAUAACAGUGAGAAAUCAUUGCUAAUACCGCAUAUGCCGUGAACACCACAUGAUGAAAACGGGAAAGGAGCAAUUCGCUAGUAGAUGGGCUCGCGUCUGAUUAGAUAGUUGGUGGGGUAACGGCCUACCAAGUCAACGAUCAGUAGCCGGACUGAGAGGUUGAACGGCCACAUUGGGACUGAGAUACGGCCCAGACUCCUACGGGAGGCAGCAGUCGGGAAUAUUGCGCAAUGGAGGAAACUCUGACGCAGUGACGCCGCGUAUAGGAAGAAGGUUUUCGGAUUGUAAACUAUUGUCGUUAGGGAAGAUACAAGACAGUACCUAAGGAGGAAGCUCCGGCUAACUACGUGCCAGCAGCCGCGGUAAUACGUAGGGAGCAAGCGUUAUCCGGAUUUAUUGGGUGUAAAGGGUGCGUAGACGGGACAACAAGUUAGUUGUGAAAUCCCUCGGCUCAACUGAGGAACUGCAACUAAAACUAUUGUUCUUGAGUGCUGGAGAGGAAAGUGGAAUUCCUAGUGUAGCGGUGAAAUGCGUAGAUAUUAGGAGGAACACCGGUGGCGAAGGCGACUUUCUGGACAAUAACUGACGUUGAGGCACGAAAGUGUGGGGAGCAAACAGGAUUAGAUACCCUGGUAGUCCACACCGUAAACGAUGGAUACUAGGUGUAGGGAACGAUUUCAUUUUCUGUGCCGCCGC